RNAcentral lists this microRNA precursor (66 nucleotides) under Dasypus novemcinctus (nine-banded armadillo). RNAcentral's name for it is "miRNA (ENSDNOG00000046512.1)". Lineage: Eukaryota; Metazoa; Chordata; Mammalia; Cingulata; Dasypodidae. The record is from RNAcentral.
CCGGGAACUGAAGCUGGUGGCUCCCAGUGAGUUGCUCAACAGUCGGGACAACUCUAAGUGACCAAC